CUGAAAGCCCUGGCACCUGAAAUGCUUUAUUUUCCAUUGAACAGGAACAGUUUGGGUAGCUUCCCUAUGCUCCCCCCUCCAAUAUGCCCCAUCCCUGACCUGGAGGGACCACUUACAGGGCUGAGAACCUCUGAGGCCUCGGGGUAAUUAGACUAUAAUGCAAAG
RNAcentral lists this small RNA (165 nucleotides) under Chelonoidis abingdonii (Abingdon island giant tortoise). Its description in RNAcentral is "TUC338 (ENSCABG00000019512.1)". Lineage: Eukaryota; Metazoa; Chordata; Testudines; Testudinidae. The record is from RNAcentral.